RNAcentral lists this ribosomal RNA (253 nucleotides) under uncultured bacterium. RNAcentral's name for it is "partial 16S ribosomal RNA". It matches the Rfam family "Bacterial small subunit ribosomal RNA", at positions 524 to 776 of the family's 1533-position model. The record is from RNAcentral.
UACGUAGGGUCCGAGCGUUGUCCGGAAUUACUGGGCGUAAAGAGCUCGUAGGUGGUUUGUCGCGUUGUUCGUGAAAACUCACAGCUCGACUGUGGGCGUGCGGGCGAUACGGGCAGACUUGAGUACUGCAGGGGAGACUGGAAUUCCUGGUGUAGCGGUGGAAUGCGCAGAUAUCAGGAGGAACGCCGGUGGCGAAGGCGGGUCUCUGGGCAGUAACUGACGCUGAGACGCGAAAGCGUGGGGAGCGAACAGG